This 253-nucleotide ribosomal RNA is filed under the name uncultured bacterium. RNAcentral describes it as "partial 16S ribosomal RNA". It matches the Rfam family "Bacterial small subunit ribosomal RNA", at positions 524 to 776 of the family's 1533-position model. The record is from RNAcentral.
GACGGAGGGUGCAAGCGUUGUUCGGAAUCACUGGGCGUAAAGCGCGCGUAGGCGGCCUGGCAAGUCAGAUGUGAAAGCCCGGGGCUCAACCUCGGAACUGCAUUUGAAACUGCUUGGCUCGAGUUCGGAAGAGGAGGGCGGAAUUCCCAGUGUAGAGGUGAAAUUCGUAGAUAUUGGGAGGAACACCAGUGGCGAAGGCGGCCCUCUGGUCCGAUACUGACGCUGAGGCGCGAAAGCGUGGGGAGCAAACAGG